UACACUAGAGUAAGGGUC
Molecule: non-coding RNA, 18 nt
Filed under: Arabidopsis thaliana (thale cress)
Lineage: Eukaryota; Viridiplantae; Streptophyta; Magnoliopsida; Brassicales; Brassicaceae
Source: RNAcentral